AUUGAACGCUGGCGGCAUGCCUAACACAUGCAAGUCGAACGGCAGCACAGUCUAGCUUGCUAGAUGGGUGGCGAGUGGCGAACGGGUGAGUAAUGCGCAGGAAUAUGCCUUAAAGUGGGGGACAACUUGGGGAAACUCAAGCUAAUACCGCAUACGCUCUACGGAGGAAAGCUGGGGACCUUAUGGCCUGGCGCUUUAAGAGUAGCCUGCGUCCGAUUAGCUAGUUGGUGGGGUAAAGGCUCACCAAGGCGAUGAUCGGUAGCUGGUCUGAGAGGAUGGUCAGCCACACUGGGACUGAGACACGGCCCAGACUCCUACGGGUGGCAG
RNAcentral lists this ribosomal RNA (327 nucleotides) under uncultured Pseudomonadota bacterium. Its description in RNAcentral is "bacterial SSU rRNA". It matches the Rfam family "Bacterial small subunit ribosomal RNA", at positions 30 to 351 of the family's 1533-position model. Lineage: Bacteria; Pseudomonadati; Pseudomonadota. The record is from RNAcentral.